AAUCUUCUGUUGAUGUAUAACAACAGGUUGAAUGAAAAUAAAAGUCAUUCCUCAGUCAAAAACAUAAACAACAUGUUCUGAAUAGGCUUUAACAGAAGCAUCUCAGCUUUAUGUCUGUUUGUAUUCUUUUGUGCUGUUUGUAUUUUUGUUUGUAUUCCUUUCUUUUUAUGUUUUUAACAUUAUGAAAAGCACAACUACAACUAUCAACUACCAACAAAUAUUCCCUGAAAUGAUGGAUGGUGUGAAAAGUGAGCACAGUAAACAAACUGUUCUUCCUCUCUGUUUGAUGUGGAGUUUGUCCUUCAUUUAAAAACACAGAGAUGCUGUUUGGGAGAGCAAGGGAGGAGGGAGGAGGGAGCAAGAGGGAGGAGGGGGGAGGCUGUUGGACUGUUUUAGCAUUUAUUUUCCUUAUGGGAACGCAGCAGCGACCCAAGUGCGACCUUCUGUUUUAACACGAAACAUUCGUCAGCAGGCGUCACACAGUUCAGACUAAGACUGCAGCGACGCUUCCUCUCUUCACCCCUCACCUCCCUCACCUCCCUCCAUCCCCCUCUCCUCCUCUAAGGCUCUCUGAAUCUUUUCCUCCCGUCCGCCAAGGUCACAAACAAACAGGAAGUCCGCCGCCGCCAGCAGACACUCAUCUGCACAACGUCUGUCUGAGAGAAAAGUUCUGCUUCUUUUCUCUCUGUGACAGAGUUCAAAGGCUGCAGGGUUUUUAUGAAGAUCCAAGAAGACGACGAAGAAGGGGAAGAGGAGGAAGACAAACUGUAGGUGCAGCUGCAGCCUCGCGAUGUUUCACUCGAAACAGAAACAGAAACAGAUGGAGACGUCCACAUCACAUUUAAAAAGAUUUUUUGAUGAUUCGUUUUCCACUGAUGCCCCGGGGCUGAUGGAGCUUAGAGGAAAAAACAUGGACUUUCACUCUAAGUAAGAAGAGAAAAGCAGCAGUUUGGGACGUUUUAGAGAAGAACUGAGGCCUCUCUGUGUCUCCUGGCUGAAUGAAACAACAGAUUUAAUCCACAUCACAUUCACGACAGAAGACGGCAAACAGACUGGGCUGAGGCCACCGUGAUGUUAGUGAUACAACUAAUGUUAGAGUCUACCAAACAGACGAAGCCCAGAACAGUUAGAUUAGUCAACAUCUUUUUUAAAGAACAGACUAAUUUCUAUUUGGGUAGAGGUGGGAGGAGAUUCAUGUUUUACUUUUUAGAGACAUUUUGGUUUGGUGGAGGGCACAUUUUAACAGUGAUGGCCAAAAAGUAAUUAUAAUACCCAUCCCUAGUUUAUACGUAGGAAAGUACCUUUUAACUUGUGUUCCAUGAGUUAAUUAAUUUGAGCUGUCUGCAGGGUAUUUCAGCUGCCAGCUUCCUCGACACCUCUACUGGUCUUAACAAUGGUUUAAAAUAAAACUGUGCUUCUUCACUCCUUUAGGUUUCUUGAAGACGUGUCAUCUCUCAACUGAGGGGCUUCUUCAGUUCUAGAGGCUGGUUGGGGAGUCCCAGGUAUUUAACCUGUUGGAGGUGGUCCUGAGAGUUGCUGACCCACCCUGUCGUCAUAUGAGUUAUUAGGAUCACAUGGGUCGAGGUGUAAAUGGGGGUUAAGUCGUCUGGAUAAGGAUCUAGAGACUGCAUUGUAGGUGGCUGAUAGUUUGUUGUAGGCCACCACGUCUGUUCAAAGAUGGUCGUCCUAGAUCUUCAAGAAACCUAAAAGAAGUCCAGGACCUGGACCUGGAUGACUGAAACCUACACAGAUCUCCUGCUCCUUGUCGUCCAUACGACAACAGAUCUGAAACUGUUUUCCUGAUGAAAGUAACCCUGCACCAUCAGUGUAAUGAGCAGUAAACUGAGACUUCAGGCAUGAAUCCAUCAUCAUCAUUUUACUGGUGCAUGACAGUGAUUUUCACACCUAUAAAAUGUGAGACACAGAAAGUGCUGAACAUGUCACGGAUGCACUUCUCUGUUCUUCUGAGGGGAUUUCUGAGGCUUUAUACAGCAGAAAUUUCACACUCUGAAUUCAGGUCACUGUUAAUUGUCUGUAAAUAACUUGUAAAUAACAUCUGUAGUCUCACAGUGCUGCACAGAACAUUAAGAUCAUCAGCCGCUGUCACUCUGUUCAUCACGAACUGAUGAGGAAACUUGUCUGUUUCCAGAUGAAGACCUGGUCUUCCUUCAGUUCAGCGACGCCACGCAGGUGUAGGUGCCGAAGUCGGUAAAUUUGAGGUCGAUGAUGUCGAGGUUGGUGGUUCCUGGCGAGACGUCGGUGUCGGUGUGGGUGAUGACCAUCCGCUCGGAGCUCCUCAGCGGCCGGCCGUU
This is a long non-coding RNA of Lates calcarifer (barramundi perch), 2312 nucleotides long. RefSeq lists it as uncharacterized. Lineage: Eukaryota; Metazoa; Chordata; Actinopteri; Centropomidae. The record is from RefSeq and is a predicted model, not a curated record. The transcript has 3 exons.